GGAUGCGAUCAUACCAGCACUAAUGCACCGGAUCCCAUCAGAACUCCGAAGUUAAGCGUGCUUGGGCGAGAGUAGUACUGCAUCCC
This 86-nucleotide ribosomal RNA is filed under the name Ipomoea nil (Japanese morning glory). The record is from RNAcentral. Lineage: Eukaryota; Viridiplantae; Streptophyta; Magnoliopsida; Solanales; Convolvulaceae.